GGGUCGAUGCCCGAGUGGUUAAUGGGGGUGGACUGUAAAUCCACUGAUUAUAUCUACGCUAGUUCGAAUCUAGCUCGGCCCA
This 82-nucleotide transfer RNA is filed under the name Alkalinema sp. RU_4_3. RNAcentral describes it as "tRNA-Tyr". It matches the Rfam family "tRNA". Rfam says of the family: Transfer RNA (tRNA) molecules are approximately 80 nucleotides in length. Their secondary structure includes four short double-helical elements and three loops (D, anti-codon, and T loops). Lineage: Bacteria; Bacillati; Cyanobacteriota; Cyanophyceae; Leptolyngbyales; Leptolyngbyaceae. The record is from RNAcentral.